This 20033-nucleotide long non-coding RNA is filed under the name Malus domestica (apple). The record is from RNAcentral. Lineage: Eukaryota; Viridiplantae; Streptophyta; Magnoliopsida; Rosales; Rosaceae.
UUGUAGAGAUCCAUCCAUCAUGGAUCUUAGCAAGCUAGUGGGAGCUAUAAGCAUCUUAUGCGAAAAGGAUCAAAUCGUUUGAUUUCUCAUAAAGAUGUAAAUGAAUCUUUUGUUUACUAGGUUUACAAAAGAUUAGUGGGAGUUAAUAAUGUUCCUAAAAUUUAAAAUAUAUAUAUGAUAUAUUAAUUUUGGAAAUGAAAAGAAUACUUCUUCUUUAAAGUUAUGACUUUAAAACAUUAUAUGAAGAUAGAAUGUAUAUGGGAGACAUAGUCUAUGAACAAGGGAUGGAAAUCUAUAUUGAUAGAUUUUAGGAUAUAAUUGGAUUAUAUCAUACCCUAAUAAUAGACAAAAUAUGCUAGGAAGUUUCUCAUAUGAUGAUAAACUUCAAUUAGGAGGACAACUCUAGUGAGACUAAGAAGUUGCUCUUCUCAAAGAGAACGUACUCUUUGACUCCCAAAGAAAUAAUGCGUAAAUAUAAUCCUUUAUGCAUACGCAAAAAGGUGAUUUAUGUAUUUCAUAUUGUAUGAAAAACAUUGAUAUGAGUUAUACCUAGAACGGUACAAGACGAUAUCAGUGCAAGCCCAGGAUCAGAACCAUGGCAACUGUCGGUGAGUCCUUAAGUAUUUAAGAAAUACUAAAGGAUAGAUUCCUCAAAGAUUGAGGAAGAAUUAGAGUAAUGUAAUGGAAGCGUAAAUGUAUUAGAUUAUGAAUCUAAUCCAUCAUUGGAUGUUUCUUCAUUAUGAAUGAAGAGAUAAACGGAUAUCUUUUUAUUAUGACUAAAGAGAUAUUUGGAUGGAAACAUUAAAGUAAUGACUUUAGUGUGUUCCAUUAUGAAUGCAAGAUAUAUUGCCAUAUAGAAGUUAACAACAAUGUUGUUUGGAUGGGAAAGUUCAUUUAUGAACUCUCUAUUCGGUUCCAACCAGAAAGUGUCUGACACUAAUGGGGCGAUAGCUUAAGCCAAGGAAUCAAGGUCUCAUCAAGGUCCGAACUCAUAUAAGAGACUGAACCACAUGAUUGAGAAUCAUGUAUAAUGGUGACGUCGUUAUUCUCAAGGUUGCUUCUAUGGAUAACAUAUAGAUAUCCAUUGUCUAGGCCUACUAUUCAGCCAUUUAUGAAAUGACUACAGAAGAGGUAUCAUCACAGAUGACCAAGCUGAUUGGCUCUAGUGCAAGUGGGAGAUUGUUGGAAAUGUGCCCUAAAACCAAUCAUAUGAUGAUACUUUACGGACAUUUCACAUGUUAAACUAAUCUAGUUUAACUAUAAAGGGCAAAGAUUAUUGUUUGAGCCGUCUCAUAUAAAUGUUAUAUGCUUAAACGAUAAAGUCCAAGGAAUAUGUGAUUGGGAGAAUGCGAUCUAAAGAAGUUAGAUUCAUGAGACCAUUCUUUCGUAGACACAUCCUAAACGUUCCUGAUCAUAGGAUUGCCAAUUGGGCAUUGACAGUCCGGUAAGAUCAGUACGUGCUAUAUCUUCUCUCAAUGAGAGUGACUAGUCUCGAGUCAUUGGUGUGUGUGACAUCAAGACAAGUACGUAGGUGCUCAAUAGAGAAUGAGUUCACUGAACACGAUCAACGAAGAGUUCUCAUAUUCAUGUCACAUGAGAACUCAUGGUUGGGAUAAUGCAAAGUAGCCCUUUGACCUGAGGCAUCACAGUUGUCUUGUGGUUAAGUACUUGAUCUUUGAUUAUGUCAAAGUCACCCUAUCGGGGUGUCCACGGCAUCAUUGGGGUUAAGCCACUUAGUCAUGGAGACAAGUGAAUGCGCAACAAGGGAUCUCUAACCUUCAAACCAUUGGGGGAGAAUACUCUAUGAUAUGAUUUAGAAUCUCUGGCCAGAGUAUGAAUGAGAUUUAGAAAAGUCGUUCUAAAUCACAUUCAAGGUAAUCAUAUAAGCACACGAAUCACAUUGGAUAGUAGACAUGAAUAAAUAAACUAUCAAACCAAACAAUGUGGUCAAGAGUAUUGUAUUAGAGAAAGACCGUAUUGCAUUUGUAAUCCCAAACUGAAUAGGUUCUUCACCUCUUCUGAUUAGCUUGGGUAACCAUGAUAUGCUGCUAGGUGUCACUCAUGGUUUGUGGAAGCCCUAAACGUGUGUAAUCGUUAAAGGGAGAAUUGAAAGUAAGUUUCAAUUCACAAUCGAUUUAAAAGAGUUCUAAUCGCCCACUGCCUCGCUAAAAGGAACCUAAUGGAUCGUACACCGUGUAAGGUGGAGAUUGAAGAAACAAUGGAGAUGAGUAAGAAUGAUUAAAUAGUUUAAUUAUUUAUUUAUGGCAAGGAUUAAUUAAUAUGUUAAUUAGUCAAACGAAUAAAGUUCGUUAAAAGACCACGGGUUAGUUUUGGGCCUCAAGGCCCAAUGGGCUUCGAACUUCAAGUCCAUUGACUUAAGUUGUAUGACAACUUAAUUCACAAAGGCCCAAAAGCCCAAACCCCAUGGCCGGCCAUUUAGAGGAAGGGUAGUGAACUUGCUUUAAUUACAAGUUUGCCACUCAAAUGAAUAAAGGUAUAAAUAUGACUUUAUAGCCAAAAUUCAUUUAGGGUUUGUUUUGGAGAAAAUUGGAGAGAACAUGUCUCUCCAUUUCUCUCUAAAGAGGCCGGCCCCUUGGAGGGUGUAUCUAGCCAUACUAACUACUCCAAGGUCACUCAUUUCUUCUCCAAUCUAACCUUGGUGAAGAUACUUAGAGGUUCUCAAUUUUGGGAACUUGGAGAAACCUUUUCAUCCAUCCAAAUCCAUAGAUUUUAUAUGCAAGGAAUGAAUGCCCUCUCUUUGGGUGAUUAGCCUUUGCUUAUGCAAAGAGGAAUCUACAAAGGUAUAUUUCUCAACUUACUUAGAUUUGAGUUGAGUCUUGGUUCACCAAUCUACUAGGCUUUGAAUUUCAUGGGUAAUGUUUUGUUUUUGAGUGCAUGCAAGCAUGAUUCCGCCUUUAAUUGUUAAUUGCAUGCUAUAUGAUGUUGCUCAAAUGAACAUGUUUUCACAAAAUCUUCCUUCAGAUCAAGCCCAAAAGCCCUUGAAGAUCCGUCAAUCAUUGUUCUUCAAGAUCAAGCCCAAAAGCCCUUGAAGAUCCGUUCAUCACCGUUAUUCAAGAUCAAGCCUCAAUGGCCCUUGAAGAAACGCUCAUCCUCAAGAUCAAGCCCCAACGGCUCCUUGAAGAUCCGCUCAAAUCCACCUUCAAGAUCAAGCCCACGGCCCUUGAAGAACGUUCAUCCUUAGAUCAAGCCCAACAGCCCUUUGGAUCAAUCGCACAUCCACAAAUCAACACCUUACGAAGAUCGAAUCAAAGGAUCAAAUUUGAGAGAGAUUGUAACCCAAAAUCAUUAACACCGAAAUUUUAUUUUGUACACGUGUUCUUGUCUCGUUUGUUUCAGGAAAAUUCCGUGUUUACAAUACCCACUUUUUAUAAAAGCACCUCAGUACCAAAUCAGUACCUAGAAUUUUUUUCACUUUUUCAAGGUUACGAGUCAAUUGGACUAAAGCAUCCUUGAUGGGUUGCUUUUGGGUUGGCGCCUCUUUGGGUGGGAAACAAUCUCAUCUUAUCCAUAUCCAAUAGCCCAUUUACUAAAACAAACCUCACUUAGGCCAUCUCCAACUAGACUUGACAAUUUCUUACACGACAUAUAAACGAUACGAAAAUAACGGGUUUAAGGUCAACACGAUCACUAAUCUGGUCAUUAUCGGGUCACACGAUAAUAACCCGUUAAUAAUGGGUUCUUAACAGGUUUACACGAGAGUGACAUGUAACCUGUUUCGACAUGAUAAGAAAAAAGUUAUUUUGAUGAUUUAAAAAUUUCAAACUACUAAAAAAAACUUACUAUAAAAUACAAUAGAUAUAAUGAAUAUGUAUAUAUUGUUUAUUAAUUAUUAUUCUAUAUAAAUUUUAAAUUUUUAUUUUUAUUUAUUUAUUUAUUUUUAUAGUAUAUUAUAGGCAAAGAUUGAAAUUAAAAAUCAUAAAACACAUUAAAAAUAAAAAUAUCAAGUAAUUUAAAAAUACCAAACACAUUAAAAACAAUUAUAAUAAUUAAUUUACAUGUGUGAAAAAUAUGAAAAAAAUAUACAAAUGCUCGUAGUUGCAUCCUCUACGUUUUGAGGAUGGGUAUAUGAUCGUUUGAAUUUUUAAAACCAAACAAACUCUCAUGAAUAGUAUUUUUAAGGAAGUUCAAAAUAAACAAAAUUCAUAAUCAUUAAUGUAAUAUCCCACAUCGCUCAGAGGAGUGGAUCCUGUAAGCCUUAUAUGUAAAUUCCCAUCUCUACCUAGCACGAGGUCUUUUGGGAGCUCACUGGCUUUGGGUUCCAACGGAACUCCGAAGUUAAGCAAGUUCACGUGAGAGCAAUCCCAUGAUGGGCGACCUAUUGGGAAGUUCUCGUGUGAGUUCCCAGAAACAAAACCAUGAGGGCAUGGUCGAGGCCCAAAGUGAACAAUAUCGUGUUACGGCGGAGUCGAGCCCGGGAUGUGGUGGGGGCCUAGACUGGGAUGUGACAAUUUGGUAUCAGAGCCAAUCCCUGGCCGGAAGUGUGCUGACGAGGAAAUCGGGCCCCUAAGGAGGUGGAUUGUAACAUCCCACAUCGCCUAGGGGAGUGGAUCCUGUAAGCCUUAUAUGUAACCCAUCUUUAAGCACGAGGCUUUUUAGGAACUCAUUGGCUUCGGGUUCCAUCGAAACUCCGAAGUUAAGCGAGUUCGUGUGAGAGCAAUCCCAUGAUGGGUGACCCACUGGGAAGUUCUUGUGUGAGUUCCCAGAAACAAAACCGUGAGGGCAUGGUCGGGGCCCAAAGCGGACAAUAUCGUGCUACGGUGGAGUCGAGCCUGGGAUGUGGUAGGGGCCCAAGCCGGGAUGUGACAAUUAAUGUAUAAGUCUGAAAGAUGUGAAAGCAUAAUAAAUGUUCAUAAUUGCAUCCUCAACGCUUAAACCCUCCAACUCUUAUGAACAGUGUUUUUUACUUGAGUCCAAAUUAAUAUAAUUAAUAAUAAUUAUUGUAGAAGUGUGAAAAAUGUAAUCACUCAUAAUGAAAAGCUUUACAACUUUCAUGAAGGGGUCAACUCCAAAAUUUAGUAUGUAUAUACUAAUUUAGUAUUAUAUUUUACAUUUUUUGGGGUCAAAUUAUGUUUUUCAUUUCAUUUUUAUUGAUUUAAAAUAUAUUUCUUAACGGGUAACAGGUCGCGUCAUAUUACUUGAUAAUAUUAACGGGUUAAUUUUGGGUCGGGUCAUAUUACCCAUUUACUUUAACGGGUAUUACACGAUAGGACCCAUUAAGCUAUUGGGUAUGACAUGAAAACGACACGAACAUGAGAAACACAGCAUGACCCGUAGCUAUUGGGUAUGACACGAAAAUGACAUAAACACGAGAAACACGACAUGAAUGCCAGGUCUAUCUCCAACCGAUCCGGCCAAAGGGUUAUAGGGCUAAAAAUAACCCGUUUUGACACGAAAACUGCCUCUAACUUAGGGCUAGGCCAAAGGGCUCAUAGGCCCCAUCCAUCGGCCAAAAGGCUAGCCAACCCACCAGCCUUAUAGCCCAGCCCAAGCACAUGCUACCUGAUGUCAGGUUACUGUUGACUUUUUUUAUUUUGACAAAAUUUACAAAAAAAAAAAUUUAAUUUUUUUUUUUAUAAAUACCUAACCCAUUUCUACCCCAUUUCUCACAUCAUUUUCACCUUUUCAUACUAUCUUACCGCAUUUUAUUUCAAUUCUUCACCAAUUUUUCACAUCCUUUUCAUUCUAUAAAGAUAAGAAACCGGAAGGCUUAUUAAUUUAGCGACAAGUGAUACUCAAAAUAUGUCCUAAAACCUUAUUUUAAUAUGGUAGUUCAAUUCAAUUAACCAUAUUAAUUCAAUUAAAUAAUAAAUUGUGUUUGACCUAUGACCCUUGGGUCCCCUCGGUUGGAGAUGAUUUUUUUGUCAAAGAGCUAUGUUUGGCCUAUGGCCCUUUGGCCCCAUUGGUUGGGAUGGUAUAAAAUAUAGCAUGACAGUGUUUAUUAAAAUAUAAUUUCUUGCAGGGCUAUAUGGCUAAAAAUGGCCCUUUGGCUCUCUUUCGGUUAGAGGCGGCCUAUUCUUAAUACAAUGGAUGACAAAAAACCCACCACUCAAAUUUAAUACAAAGAUAUAUUUACACUAUAAAGCAUAAUAAUAAACUGGUAUCGGCAACCAUUAAAUUUUAGGGUUCUUUAGAUAUAAGCCCAUGCAACACUUAUUUCCUCAAAAAUCGAUUUCAUUUUAAACAUCUAAAUUGUGACAGUCCGUCCCGAAGUAAAAUUUUCCAUGGUGUGAAUUGCCUAAAAUACCCUUAUACGUUUGUGGUGUUGUGUUGUGGACCAAUUACUUUCUUCCAACCUUUUAGACCCAAUUAGAACUAAAGGUUCUAAUUGUUUUGGUUGGUUGUAAGAGGAUCGGGACCACACACACACACUCUACCUCUCUCUCCCGUUGACCAUCUCUUUCUCUCUCUUCCCUCUCGGUUUCUCUCCAUUUUCAUAUCAUACGUACGGACGAACCUCAGCCAAGCCAUUUCUUCACGGAUCGAGGUUAUGGAGACCACUUUCAAGUUCCUUGCGAGCCCAGGAACCCAGUGAUACUAUUAUUUGGACAUGAAACCUCGAAAAAAACCCGAGAAACCAUAAUCUCCGAUUUGAGCACUGUUCAUACACUCGUGAAUGUGAGGUUUUUAGAAGUUUUUAAGCUGCUAGGAAGCUUUAGAACGUCUUCACGAAGCUCGGAGAAGAAAAAUGAGGUGUUUUGGACGUCGGGAAGUUGAGUUUGGUGAGGUUGAAAUUUGACUGGAAUUAUCGUGCUUUCUCCGACGAGAUCCCGUGAUUUUUGGAUCUUGAAAUUGUUUUUUGGCGACGGCGACGGUCACCGGAGUUCGAAGGAAGCUGACAGAUAAUAUUUUGUCAAGUUUGACGGAAUAUUCUAACAGCGUCAGGUGAGACCUAUCUCCAGGACGAGCGCAGUCAAGGGCGGCAUAGGGGCUACGACCUUUCGACAUACCAGUGAGUGGGCUUUUGGUUUUUAGUAUAUAUGUAUAUGCUUGGUAUCUUUCCCAGAAAGUGCAUUUAAAUGAGUUAUGAUUUAAAUUGCCAUGCCAAAUGUUUUACAUUUAGAAUAUGCAUAUGAUGUUUGCAUAUAUAUAUAUAUAUAUAUAUAUAUAUAUAUAUAUAUAUAUAUAUAUAUAUAUAUAUAUAAUUGUGGUGUUGUGGAUGCUCAGGUAAGCCCCAGGUAAGUUUAUGAAUUGUGAAUGUGAAUAACGAUUGUGAUUAAUUGAGAAACAUUGAGCUCAUAAACCUGCACCCCGAUGUUAGCGAUUUAGCCAGAGAUAUGGCACAAGCUUGUAUAUAAUGUCACAUACCGCACCAUAUGCUCACAUUGGAUCCAAUUUAGGUGCACAGUCUUGUCGUACAGACCAUCAUAGGUGGUUCCGACUUGUCGGUGACUAGUGAUUUAUCGCACAGCUAUCAUGAGAGCGUAGCAUUAAGCAUAAAUAUAUUACACCCAAUCUUCUCGUACAGACCUUUACAGUGGUUCCGACUCGUGUGCAGUGUAGUGCCGUAUAGGUCACUUGCAGUGAAUCUGGCUGUAUUGACUAAUGAGCUAUGAAUUCAGCCGUACAGACUUCUGCAAGGGUUCCGGCUAAUAUGUUAUUUUUCCAUGAAAUUAUUUUCACCUGAGUUACUUAUUCUGUUUUAUAUUUUAGCAUGGCAUACUUAUGAAUAUGGAUAUGUGAAGCAUGAUUUGAAUAUACAUUAUACAUGAUUUGAUAAAAUGAAAUGGUUUUGAAAAGCUUUGUUUUUGCCCACUCACACUUUCUGUUUUGCGCCUCUCCAGGUUUUAGAUAAGCUUGUUCGUUGGUGGCUCAUGAGGAUUUAUUGGAGGUUCUGACAGACUAUCACAAAUGUAGGACAUCUCUGGGUGUCGUUUAUCUAGUACUUGUUUUUUGGACUGAACUUAGGCUACUUACGCUUUGAUUAUGUAUUCACACAUAUUCUAGAAUUUGACUUAACUAGUACUCUUAUGAGUUGGUUUUCAUUUAUUCGUAUUCUCUAUUAUCAUUAUUGCUUCUGCAUUGUGCACAUGGCUACGUCACCCUCACGUGACGACCAGCAUGCCUCGAUCUCGGUCGGGGUGUGUAAGUUUGGUAUUAGAGCCUAGGUUUAGCAGUCCUGCAUAUCUUGUGAAUAAUUUAAUCUUUGUAAUGUCUCCUAUAAGAACUAUGCCGCCUUGUAGAGAGCCACGUCACUCAGCUAAGCCUAGUUUCCCUGAUAUUGCUCAGUUAAGGAAAGCUAUAGCUAAUGCCAUUCAAUCUUCGCUCUGCCCUCCUCAAAGGACACCUCUUGAGACUGUGUAUAAUCUGAAGUUGAAUCAUUUCAUGGGUAAUGAAGGACAUAAGGGAGUGGAGAAGUGGCUUAAUCAUGUCGAGAAGACUUUCCUUGUGAUGCAGAGUCAAGGGAAUCUUCCUCCUAAUAGGUGGAUCGAGACGACUACCUGGUUUCUGGGUCCGGAGCCCGGUGGAGAUAGGAGUCUUAUCAGAUGCCACCAGAGGUAGCAGUUGAUUGGGAAGUGUUUAAAUAGUUGUUUCAGAAAAGGUUGAUUCCCUCUGAGUAUAUUGAUCGCAAGAAACAAGAGUUUACGCAUCUGAAACAAGGAAAGAUGACAGCGAAUGAGUAUUACAUGAGGUUUACUGAUUUGUCUCGAUAUGAUCCAGAGGUUGCUGCUAAUCCGGUUGAGAUGUUUCAUCGUUUCAGAUUGGCUACUAAGAAGAAAUGGGGUUCUAUAGCGACAUUGACUCCAUGUGCCACUUACCAGGAGUUUUAUGAGGUUUUACUACGGAUUGAGGAUCAGAGAAUAUGCCCAGUUAAAGUGAAGAUGAAGAAGAAAAGAACAGGAACCAGAGGCGAGAUGAUAAAGGUAAGGGUCAAUCAUCUCAAGAACCUCGUAAGACCCAGAGUUUUAAGAGAAGUGGUGUCAGUUCCAGCUCUAAUGUAUAGAAGAGAGGUAGUAGUUUUUUUGGAAGCCCUAGAUUUCAGAAGCAGAGGGAUUUUAGUGGUUCAGGUACUCCUUUAUGCCGUAAGUGUAAUAAUAGGCAUUUUGGGAAAUGUAGGAGAGGCAGCAGUGCAUGCUAUACUUGUGGAUAGAUGGGGCAUAGGGCUGCACAUUGCUCUUAAAAUCAGCAGAGGCUUCAACAGCCUUCCUUACCACCACCUGCGCCGACCCAGCAAGCUUCAGAACCUAGUGGUUAUGCCCAGACUGGUCGUGGAGGUGUUUAUCAUUAUUAGGGUGACACCGCUCCGUAUACUUUAAGACAGUAUCAAUAUUCACUUGAUCCUCAUUAUCAGGGUGGUUACCCUCAGUACCAGGGAGGUUUUAUGCCAUACCAGGCACAUUCAGCAGGUGGAUCCCAGUGGUACCAGGAGGGACAACCCCAACAAGUAGAGAUUGCUGGUAGCAGUGCAGGAUCUUUAAGACUAUCAGGUCAGCCAAGACAAGGACUAGGUAUUCAUGCUAACAGAGGUCAUGGUAGACGACAGCAUAAUCAGGGACGUAUCCACAACAUGACAUUGCAGGAUGCUUUGAACAAUCUUGAUUCUAUCAUGGGUACGUUGAACAUUCUUGGUCAUUUUGCUAAAGUAUUAAUUGAUUGUGGUGCUAUGCAUUUUGUUGUUUCUCAUACAUUUGCUCAAGUGACGCAACCUCAUCCUAAACCUCUAGGAUAUGAUUUAAAGUUUUCUAUGCCUAGAGGGGAGAAAUGUUAUGUUGAUCAGGUGUAUCCAGGAUGUCCAGUGAUGGUGGAGGAUGUUGUUAUGCCAACUAAUCUUAUGCCGCUAGACAUUGUUGAUUUUGAUGUGAUUUUAGGCACUGAUUGGUUACACUACAAUCGUGCCAAGAUAGAUUGCUAUGGAAAGACAGUUACUUUCCAUCGUCCUGGGUUACCCGAAGUUACAUUUGUAGGAGAGCCUAGCAGGGUGAGGUAUGGUGUUAUUUCUGCCAUGAAAGCCAAAAGAUUGUUGUCGAAAGGUUGUCAAUGAUAUUUGGCUCAUGUGGUGUUGAAUGAUAAUGCUCCUAGUAGUGUGGAGGAUGUACGUGUGAUCAUGCAUUUUCUUGAUGUGUUCCCUGAUGAUUUUCCUGGAUUACCGCCAAACAGAGACGUAGAGUUUACUAUUGAUUUACUUCUAGGUAAGAAUCCUAUAUCUUUGACUCCAUAUAGAAUGGCUCCUGCUGAAUUAAGGGAAUUGAAAGUUCAGUUGCAGGAAUUGGUUGAUAAGGGAUUUAUUCAAUCUAGUACUUCACCUUGGGGAGCUCCAAUUUUAUUUGUGAGGAAGAAAGACGGAACCUUGAGGCUAUGCAUUGAUUACAAGUAAUUGAAUCGGGUAACAAUUAAGAACCGUUAUCCGUUGCCACGUAUAGAUGAUUUGUUUGAUCAACUUCGAGGUGUCUGUGUGUUCUCUAAGAUUGACUUAAGGUCUGGUUACUACCAGUUGAAGAUUAAAAGUGAAGAUGUCCCUAAAACAGCUUUCAGGACUCGAUAUGGUUUUUAUGAGUUUCUUGUGAUGCCAUUCGGGUUAACUAAUGCACUAGCAGCUUUCAUGGAUUUAAUGAAUCAAGUAUUCCAGCCAUAUUUGGACAGGUUUGUCAUUGUCUUCAUUGAUGAUAUUCUAGUAUACUCUAAGACUAGAGCAUAGCAUGCUAGACAUCUUAAAUUGGUGUUGAAAAGUUUGAGGGAACACCAGUUAUAUGCUAAGUUUAGCAAAUUCCAAUUCUGGUUAGAUCAAGUGCCAUUUUUGGGACAUGUUAUAUCAGCUCAAGGUAUUCGAGUAGAUUCUCAAAAAGUGGCAGCUGUAAAGAAUUGGGAACAACUUCGAACUGUCACUGUGAAGGAAUAUUUUGUGAAAACAUGUUCAUUUGAAUAACAUCUAUAGCAUGCUAAUAACAAUUAAAAGGCGGAAUCAUGCUUGCAUGCAUUCAAAAACAAAACAUUAACCAAGAAAUUCAAAGCCUAGUACAUUGGUGAACCAUUAAUCAACUCAAAACAAAGUGAGUUGAGAUUUAUACCUUUGUAGAUUCCUCUUUGCAUAAGCAAAGGCUAAUCACCCAAAGAGAGGGCCUUCAUUCCUUGCAUCUAAAACCUAUGGAUUUGGAUGGAAGAAUAGGUUUCUCCAAGUUCCCAAAAUUGAGAACCUCUAAGUCUCUUCACCAAGGAGAGAUUGGAGAAGAAAUGAGUGACCUUGGAGUAGUGGGAUUGCAAGAUGCACCCCCAAGGUGGCCGGCCUCUUUAGAGAGAAAUGGAGAGACAAGUUCUCACCAAUUUUCUCCAAAAACAAACCCUAAUGAAUUUUGGCUAUAAAGUCAUAUUUAUACCUUUAUUCAUUUGAGUGGCAAACUUGUAAAUAAGUCCAAGUUCACUACCCUAAACAUCAUGGCCGGCCUUGGGGUAUUUUUGGGUUGUUUGGGCCUUUGUGAAUCAUUAUUCAUUAAGUUGUCAUACAACUUAAGUUAAUGGGCUUGACGUUCGAAGCCCAUUGGGCCUUAAGGUCCAAAACUAUCCCGAGGUCUUUAACGAACUUAUUCGUUUGAUUAAUUAACAUAUUAAUUAAUCCUUGCCAUAAAUAAAUGAUUAAACCAUUUAAUCAUUCUUACUCAUCUCCAUUGUUUCUUCAAUCUCCUCCUUACACGGUGUGCAAUCCAUUAGGUUCCUUUUAGCGAGGCAGUGGGUGAUUAAAACCAUUUUACAUCGAUUGUGAAUUGAAACUUACUUUCAAUUCUCCCUUUAGUGAUUACACACAUUUAGGGCUUCCACAAACCAUGAGUGACACCUUGCAGCAUAUCAUGGUUACCCAAGCUAAUCAGAAGAGGUAGAGAAAACCUAUUCAGUUUGGGAUUACAAAUGCAAUACGGUCUUUCUCUAAUACAAUACUCUUGACCACAUUGUUUGGUUUGAUAGUUUAUUUAUUCAUGUCUACUAUCCAAUGUGAUUCGUGUGCUUAUAUGAUUACCUUGAAUGUGAUUUGGAACGUUUUCCUAAAUCUCAUUCAUACUUUGGCCAAAGAUUCUUAAUCAUAUCAUAGAGUAUUCUCCCUCAAACAGUUUGAAGGUUAGAGAUCCCUUGUUGCGCAUUCACUUGCCUCCAUGACUAAGUGGCUUAACCCCAACGAUGCCGUGGACACUCCAAUGGAAUGACGUUUGACAUAAUCAAAGAUCAAGGACUUAACCACGUGACAACUGUGAUGCCUCAGGUCAAAUGACUACUUUGCAUUAUCCCAACCAUGAGUUCUCAUGUGACAUGAGUAUGAGAACUCUUCGUUGAUCGCGUUCAGUGAACUCAUUCUCUACUGAGCACCUACGUACUUGUCUUGAUGUCACACACUGUUGGAAAUGUGCCCUAAAGCCAAUCAUGUGAUGAUACUUUACGGACAUUUCACAUGUUAAACUAAUCUAGUUUUACAUAUAAAGGGCAAAGAUUAUUGUUUGAGCCGUCUCAUAUAAAUGUUAUAUGCUUAAACGAUAAAGUCCAAGGAAUAUGUGAUUGGGAGAAUGUAAUCUAAUGAAGUUAGAUUCAUGAGACCAUUCUUUCGUAGACACAUCCUAAACGUUCCUGAUCAUAGGAUUGCCAAUUGGGCAUUGACAGUCCGUCAAGAUCGGUACGUACUAUGUCUUCUCUCAGGGAGAGUGAUUAGUCUCGAAUCAUUGGUGUGUGUGACAUCAAGACAAGUGCGGUAGGUGCUCAAUAGAGAAUGAGUUCACUGAACGCGAUCAACGAAGAGUUCUCAUAUUCCAUGUCACAUGAGAACUCAUGGUUGGGAUAAUGCAAAUUAGUCCUUUGACCUGAGGCAUCAUAGUUGUCUUGUGGUUAAGACCUUGAUCUUUGAUUAUGUCAAAGUCACUCCAUCAGGAGGGUGUCCACGGCAUCGUUGGGGUCAAGCCGCUUAGCUAUGGAGACAAGUGAAUGCGCAACAAGGGAUCUCUAACCUUCAAAACCGUUUGAGGGAGAAUACUCUCUGAUAUGAUUUGAAUCUCUGGCCAGAGUAUGAAUGAGAUUAGGGAAUGCGUUCCGAAUCACAUUCAAGGUAAUCAUAUAAGCACAAGACACACAUUGGAUAGUAGACAUGAGAAAAUAAACUAUCAAACCAAACAAUGUGGUCAAGAGUAUUAGAUUAGAGAAGGACCGUAUUGCAUUUGUAAUCUCGAACUGAAUAGGUUCUCUAACCUCUUCUGAUUAGCUUGGGUAACCAUGAUAUGCUGGUAGGUGUCACUCAUGGUUUGUGGAAGCCCUAAACGUGUAUAAUCACUAAAGGGAGAAUUGAAAAUAGUUUCAAUUCACAAUCGAUGUAAAAUGGUUUUAAUCGCCCACUACCUCGCUAAAAGGAACCUAAUGGAUCGCACACCGUAAAAGGUGGAGAUUGGAGAUUAAACGGAAAUGAGUAAGAAUGAUUAAAUGGUUUAAUCAUUUAUUUAUGGCAAGGAUUAAUUAAUAUGUUAAUUAAUCAAACGAAUAAGUUCGUUAAAGACUUCGGGAUAGUUUUGGACCUUAAGGCCCAAUGGGCUUCGAACGUCAAGCCCAUUAACUUAAGUUGUAUGACAAUUUAAUGAAUAAAGAUUCAUUAAAGCCCAAAAGCCCAAAAAUCCCCUAAAUGGCCAGCCAUGAUGAAAUGAAUUAGGGUUUUGGUUGUUUAGGUCACUUAAAGAAGUGACUAUAUAAAUGAUUUUAUAGCCAAAUAUUCAUUAAGUGAAAAAUGGGUUUAUUUUUGGGGAAAAUAGGUGAGAAUUGUCUCUCCAUUUUCUCUCUAAAAAGAGGCCAACACCUUGGAGGGUACAUCUAGCAAUCCUACUACUCCAAGGUCACUCAUUUCUUCUACAAUCGAACCUUGGUGUCGAGAACUUAGAGGUUCUCAAUUUUGGGAACUUGGAGAACCUAUUCUUCCAUCCAAAUCCAUGGAUCUAAGAAGCAAGGAAUGAAGGCCCUUAUCUCUUUGGGUGAUUAGCCUUUGCUUAUGCAAAGAGGAAUCUACAAAGGUAUUUUUCAACUCACUUUGUUUUUGAGUUGAUUAUUGGUUCACCAAUCUACUAGGCUUUGAAUUUCAUGGGUAAAUGUUUUGUUUUUGAGUGCAUGUAAGCAUGAUUCCGCCUUUAAUUGUUAAUUGCAUGCUAUAUGAUGUUGCUCAAAUGAACAUGUUUUACAAAAUAAUUCCUUCAAGUGGUAUCAGAGCCUAGGUCUAGUAGUUGGUGAAUCCUUUUGGUGUUUUGUAGUUCAUAAGUUUGUGAUUUAAAAGUUGUAAUUGUUACAAGCUUUAUUCUUGCUUCUUUGAAUGUAAAUUUUGUUGGAAAAUUUGCCUAUCUCAAAUGUUGUAGAUGUAGUUCAUAUGAGCAUGAAUAUUGGAGCUAAAAUUUGGUGCCAUGCUUUUGGGAAAAUUCGGCCAAAUCCAAAGGGUGGAUUUUUUGGGUUCUUGUUUGACUUGUUAAAAGUGUUUUCAAUGUGUUUUUGGAACCCCUAAGUACCCUAGUUUGGUUAGAUGUUAUUUCCCUUAAGUUAAGAAUGGUUUUGGAAUGUUUUUGGGUGGAAAAAAGUUCAUGGAAAAAAUUUGGGUUUUUCAUGGAUGUUCUUCAUUGUUCUUGAUGUUCUUGCCAAGAACAAAAAGGUUUGGUGUUUUGAUUCAAAGUUUUGAAAUUAUUUCAUAAAGUUAUAUGUGAUAUGUUUUUAAAUGAUUUAUUAUGUAUUUAAAGUGUUAGAUAUUUGUAUAAAUGAUGAUUGAAAUAAUUGUGAUUGAAUUAUUUCAAAACUUAUCUUACAUACACUUGCAUGUUUUUGACAAAACUCACAAAUCAACACACACCAACCUUAUCCCUCCCAAAACCGGCCACUCCCUCAAAGGGAGUACUUUUGGGGCUUUUAUGCAAUUACAUAAAGUUUUGAUACUUUUGUGUAUUUGCACUUUGGCCCAAAAGUUUACGUUUUUACGUUUAAGGUCCAAAAACGCUAAAGGACAAAUUGUUUUGUUCCUUUAAUGAAGUUUUUGCAUUAUUAAAAGUUUGGGUUCUAGUUGUAAUUUACAUGAAGUAGUGGACUUUUGUGUAUUUACAAAGUGACCCCAAAAGUUUUUUGUUAUUGCAAUAUGGCCCAAAAGUUGUGGUUUAUUGCAUGAUGGCCCAAAUUAGGAUGAGAACAAAAUUGUUUUGUCUCUUUAAAUGAGAAUUGGAUUUUCAUUUUUGUUUAGCUCCAUUUAAAUCAAUUUUAUGGAUACAAAAACCAAAUGAAAAUGUUGCAUUCAAUUUAAUUAGUUAAAGUGUUAAUUAAUUAAAGGGUGAUUAUGAACCUAAGCCUAAUAUAAUUGAGCUAUGUGAAAGGCCGUUUCAAAUUUGUUUGAACCAUGGGAAUGUGUAGAUUAGAUUUUGGUUGUAAUUUGAUUUGAUCAAAUGUUGUAAAAGGGCUUAAGCUCUUCUUACUUUAAAGUAAUUUGUUUUAUGCAAAUGUUGUAAUGAGCAUAAGCUCACCUUUACUUUGAAGUACUUCUUUCUUGCUUUAUAUGAUAUGCAUGAAAAUGAAGUAGUUGGGUCCAACGCCCCUAAGACAACACGCCUUAAUGUGAUUAAACGCGUAACUAAAAUCAAUCACCAUUCCUAGACCGAGAUUCAACACAAGGCUCGUGUUGAAUCUAAACAAAGGUUCAUAAUCAUCCUAAGGCCCUAAGGCAACUAUAUAGUCCAUCAAAUGAAUGCAAAGUUUAUGUUAGUAGUAUCAUAUACUCUUGCUUUAAAAACCGUUUUAAAAGCAUAGUGGGAGUAUUAUAUACAACUAAAACAAUGAGAUGGACCAAUAGUUGUAAUAGGACCAAAAUUGUUUUAAUAGAGAUUAAAAUGUAUGUUUAUAUGUGAUGAGACCUAAAAAACCCUCAACCAAACCAUUAUUAAGUUGAUAAGCGUGAGAGUGCUUUAGAACAUCUCUUUCGUGGCCUUCCACCGUGGUGGGCUCCAAUCGUUUAUGACUUGUACACCGGCUUCACCCUAUCAUGGGGGAGUACAAAGUGCAUGCUUAUACUCAGGAGGAAUCCAUAUACAUAUGAUGAGGUGAGUGUAGGCAACGAGGAUAGCCAAUAUCGUAUCAUUCGUGAGGCUAUUCUUGAACCCCUUCACGAACUAAGCAUGGUGGGAAUGAACUUAACUAAGUGCAAUGGAGCCAAUAUCAUAUCAUUGUGAGGUUACAUUCUCUAGAGGCCAAAUAAGAUGGGUACUUGCAUUGAGUUGCAAAUGAGUAAGCGUACUCUCUCAUUAUUAUUGUUGCUAGCCAAUAUCAUAUCAUUCGUGAGGUGGGCUUGGUAAUAGUGAGCCUCCCAUAACCUACUAGGAGUUUCAUCCAAAACUCUCGAAUUCCAAUGAGGGAUAUGGAAUUUGCCAAAAAUAGUGGGUGGUGCUAUUUUGAUUUAAAGACCCGAAUCAAAUGGCUUAAAAUCAAUCAAUUUAUAUUCGUUAUGUAUUUGUUUACCAAAUAUAUUUGCAAACGCUAUCCAACACUUGACAAAAAGCCGAACGUUUAGUUUCCGGACUUGGUACUACAAAACCAUAGAUUGUCUUUAAUGGCUUGUAAAUGUACCUAAGUAGUCUCAUCCUCACAAUCUUCCUAUUGAUAAUGUAUCAUUAGAAGAAUAUGUUAGAAAAAGGUCUAUCAUAAAGAGGACAACACUUUUAAUGUCAUAAUUCUUCAAUUACAAAUUGUUGUAUGAAGAAAUAAGAGUUGCUUUGAACAACCCUUAGUCAAUGCAAACACUUAGUGCUUGUUUCUUUGUUAAUGAACAAAGAACUUGAGAAGAAAGCACAAAGGCAUGGACACUUUAUGUGCCAUGAUUCUUCACUUACAAAUUUGUUGUUAUGAAGAAAUGAGAGUUGCCUUGUACAACUCUUGAAAGUUUGUAAUUAUGUUUAGAACAUAAUGGUUGGUUGACAAAAAUAGUCCAUUAACAUGGACUUAUGAUGAUUUUGAAUCAUUGAGUGUUGAAGUGAUAAACCACUUAACGAGACGGAAACUAGGCAAGGACUUCACCUUUGUGUCCCUAUCCUAAUGGUUCACUAAGUUUAUUGUAAACUAUGUAGUGAACAAUAACCACAUGCUCUCCAAAAUGUUUGAUGUGUAUAACACAAUUGAAAUAAGUUUCAAGAGAGAUAGUGGGAGUUUAGGGACCAUGACUAAUGUAGUCAAAGGUGAAAGUCAAAUAAAGAAGAUAAAUAACUCCAAGGGAACAAACUUUCUUUAUGAAAGGAUGGACAUUGGAAGGGGUAUUUGCAAGAAAUGUCUUGCAAGUGUCAAGAACACACCUUUCGAAGGUGUUGUAAAAUUGUUCUUGAAUAGUUCAAAACAGUUGGUUCUUCUACUUGAAUGCUUGAUUCCGUAUUAGUAACUAUGUUUUACAAUCGUUGUAAAAGUGUGACUAAUAAGAAGUAGAAGAUUAAUGAGAGAAGAGAAAGUACUUCACAUUCGGAACGUGAAUCAAAUGUAGAUCUCUGCGAAAGCAGAUGGUACUUACUUCCUCAUAUGAACUACCAAAGAAAUUGGAAAAACAAAGAUUGUCUUUAUAUUCCAAUUUUAAGGAACUAAAUUCCGUCACUAUAGUGAAAUGGAUAAAUGUUUUGUUUGACAAAACAUUGUUCUUUAUUAAUCAAUGAUUGGAUUAUGGUAAUCUAAUUAAUUGUCUCUAUAGUAGAGAUAAUAUGGUAGUGUUAACUGUUUUAAAAAAAAAAAAAAUGAUGCUUAAAACCCAAAAGGUUGCAAGGUAGUGACUAAUCCCAACUAAAGUUGUGAUACCUCUAAAACAUAAAUUACGAGUUGGUCAUAGAUGGAUGCUUUGGAUCGUUAGAUCCGGAUCCAAUACCUUCUUGUUAAAAUUGUAUAGAGGCGAAAUGUUCGAAUCUUUAUUCUUUUGGAAAGAAGAAAGAAUCACAAAGUUGUUGAGGUUAAUUCACUUAGAUGUUAGUGGCACUUGUCCACAAACAUAAUACUACUCAUGUUGAAUAACAUUCACCGAAGAUCACUCUCGGUUGGACUAUAGUUUAUUUUGAAUAAACACAAGUCCGAAUACUUUGCAAAAUGUUUCAAAGAAUUCAAGUAAUGUAAGUUGAUGAGUAAGACAUCUAAAGUAUUUACCUCCUUAGAUUUGAUCCAAGGAAAGGUAACAUUUUAGAUGAGUUUCCUUGAAAGAAAUCAAGGAAAUAAGCAUCAUAAGAUAAAGUAUUUCUCCAUUAGGAGAAGAACGAACUUGAAUAAGAUUUAGUUCGUUAGAUGUUAUCUAUUACCCAUAUAUAGGAUAUAUACUUCUAAAACAAUAUGAUUGUCAAUUGAGAAGAUCUUCCAAUAUUUUCAUGACUCCAUAAGAUGUAGUUGGAAAGAAAGACAAAUCUUAAGCAUGUUAAGAUUUGGGGUUGUGUGCUAAUAAGCAAUAUUUGUUUGAUAACAAUCUUGUAGGAUAUCCUUAAAAUUAACUUUUGGAUAUCGCUUCUAUAAACCAACUAACAAAUGUUGUUUUUGUUGGGUAGUUCAUUGUAAUCCUACAAUGUGAUUUGCCUAAAAAAGCAAAUGAACGAGAGAUAGAACUCAAAGAAUGGGUUCUUUGAGAGACAAGAAAAGUAAUCAACAAAUAUAACAACCUAGUUCCUAUACCACAAGCUCCAAGGUAGUCGAUAAGGAUUUAUAAACCGUCUCAGUUGAAUGGUUUUGAACUUUAUGACUAUGUCAUAGAGUUGCACCUCUUAAUUCGAAAGAAAUAAGAAUGAAAAUCCUUAUGACUACAUUGAGUGCAUAUACGAUAUAUACUCAAGGAAAAUGGUAAAGUACCAUUUGACCUCGAAAUAAUGAAACCUUCAUAAGCUAAUUGGUAGCUUAAGGUGACUACAAUCAAAGAGAAUGGUUGACUUUGAAGGAACCAUUUUUGACGUAGUCUUAGUUUCAAUUAAUUCGAAGAUUGCUAGCUACAACUAAAUGGUGAUUCAAUGUUUGGACAUAAUAUGGGUUUCCGAAACCAUUAUUAAGAUAGUCUUGAUAAUAUAUGUCUAAAACUAUGAAUCACAAGACAUGUAAGUUGUAGAGAUCCAUCCAUCAUGGAUCUUAGCAAGCUAGUGGGAGCUAUUUGCAUUUUAUGAGAAAAGGAUCAAAUCGUUUGAUUUCUCAUAAAGAUGUAAAUGAAUCUUUUGUUUACUAGGUUUACAAAAGAUUAGUGGGAGUUAAUCAUGUUCCUAAAAAUUUAAAUAUAUAUGAUAUAUUAAUUUUGGAAAUGAAAAGAAUACUUCUUCGUUAAAGUUAUGACUUUAAUACAUUAUAUGAAGAUAGAAUGUAUAUGGGAGAUAUAGUCUAUAUACAUGGGAUGGAAAUCUAUAAUGAUAUAUUUCAUGAUAUAAUUGGAUUAUAUCAAUCCCUAAUAAUAGACAAUGGAUGCUAGGAAGUUUCUCAUAUGAUGAUAAACUUCAAUAAGAAGGACGAUUCUAGUGAGACUAGCAAGUUGCCCUUCUCAAAGGGAACGUGCCCCCUUUGACUCCCAAAGAAAUAAUGCGUAAAUAGAAUCCUUUAUGCAUACGCACAAAGGUGAUUUAUGUAUUUCAUAUUGUAUGAAAAACAUUGAUAUGAGUUGUACCUAGAACGGUACAAGACGAUAUCAGUGCAAGCCCAGGAUCAGAACCAUGGCAACUGUCAAGUGAGUCCUUAAGUAUUUAAGAAAUACUAAAGGAUAAAUUCCUCAAAGAAUGAGGAAGAAUUAGAGUAACGUAAUGGAAGCGUAAAUGUAUUAGAUUAUGAAUCUAAUCCAUCAUUGGAUGUUUCUUCAUUAUGAAUGAAGAGAUAAACGAAUAUCUCUUUAUUAUGACUAAAAGAGAUAUUUGGAUGGAAACAUUAAAGUAAUGACUUUAGUGUGUUCCAUUAUGAAUGCAAGAUAUAUUGCCAUAUAGAAGUUUACAACAAUGUUGUUUGGAUGGGAAAGUUCAUUUAUGAACUCUCUAUUCGGUUCCAACCAGAAAGUGUAUGACACUAAUGGGGCGAUAGCUCAAGCCUGGGAAUCAAGGUCUCAUCAAGAUCCGAACUCAAAUGAGAGA